CAGCCGCCGCGGUAAUACAGAGGGUGCGAGCGUUAAUCGGAUUUACUGGGCGUAAAGCGUGCGUAGGCGGCUUUUUAAGUCGGAUGUGAAAUCCCUGAGCUUAACUUAGGAAUUGCAUUCGAUACUGGGAAGCUAGAGUAUGGGAGAGGAUGGUAGAAUUCCAGGUGUAGCGGUGAAAUGCGUAGAGAUCUGGAGGAAUACCGAUGGCGAAGGCAGCCAUCUGGCCUAAUACUGACGCUGAGGUACGAAAGCAUGGGGAGCAAACAGGAUUAGAUACCCGCGUAGUCCCUGUCUCUUAUAA
Molecule: ribosomal RNA, 301 nt
Filed under: uncultured bacterium
Lineage: Bacteria
Description: partial 16S ribosomal RNA
Rfam family: Bacterial small subunit ribosomal RNA
Source: RNAcentral